AAUGGAUCCGGGCGCCGCGCUGCAGAGGCGGCCCGCGGGCGGCGGCGGCCUGGGCGCGGGCUCCCCGGCGCUGUCGGGCGGCCAGUCCCGGCGGAGGAAGCAGCCCCCCAGGCCGGCCGACUUCAAGCUGCAGGUCAUCAUCAUCGGCUCCCGCGGCGUGGGCAAGACCAGCCUGAUGGAGCGCUUUACCGACGACACCUUCUGCGAGGCCUGCAAGUCCACCGUGGGUGUUGACUUUAAAAUCAAAACCGUAGAGCUAAGAGGAAAGAAAAUUAGGUUACAAAUCUGGGACACAGCAGGUCAGGAGAGAUUCAACAGCAUUACCUCAGCUUAUUACAGAAGUGCCAAGGGGAUCAUAUUAGUAUAUGAUAUCACAAAGAAGGAGACAUUUGAUGAUUUGCCAAAAUGGAUGAAGAUGAUUGAUAAGUACGCUUCAGAAGACGCAGAGCUUCUUUUAGUUGGAAAUAAGUUGGACUGUGAAACUGACAGAGAAAUCAGCAGACAGCAAGGUGAAAAGUUUGCACAGCAGAUAACUGGGAUGCGGUUCUGUGAAGCAAGUGCCAAGGAUAACUUCAACGUGGAUGAAAUAUUCCUGAAGCUUGUUGAUGACAUCCUGAAAAAGAUGCCUCUGGACAUGCUGAGGAACGAGCUGUCCAAUAGCAUCCUCUCCUUACAACCAGAGCCUGAGAUCCCACCAGAACUGCCUCCACCCAGACCACACGUCCGAUGCUGUUGAUUCGCUACUUUGGAGACAAAGUGGGAGCGAUUCCUGGAGAGGGGAAAGUUUCCAUUCUGCACUACAAUCGUUUUGACCAUUUCCUUUCGCACUUUGUAAUCCAAGUCAGAGCUAUACACUAACUUGUAAAUACGCAGAUAUGCAAUCCUGGAUAGUGUCCUCAAGAGAACGUUCUGUUUAAUGUCUCUGCCUUCUACCGUCCAACAACCAGUCAUGGAUCGUGCCGACCAUUUACCUGUUGUCUCACCUCCACGACGGCCCUCCUGUGCUCUGCCCUGUGAUACCAGGGCCUCAGCUCUGAAGGACACCUGCCGACACCCCUGCUCUUCCCGUUAGACCUGCUGCUGGGAGGAACUCGGGGGGAUGGGAGGAGAGGGGAAGGGACUUGCCAUUUCCCCCCCCCCCACCUCUUUUCCCCUGCAGAGACAGCUGACCUUCAGCUCCAGCUCCCGGCGGACCCUCAGCUGAGCCUGGCUGCACCCACCAGAGAGGCCAGGGCAGUGGCACCGCUGCACUGCUCCUUGCAAAGUCUUCCUUUUUCUACCUCCUGGAUCCUUGAGGUGCUGUUUCAGCUUCCUGAACACUUGGCCGCUCCUUGGAAAUGUUCGAUUAAGCCUGUUCUCAUGGUAGAGACAAGACAGUGACCGGAAAUGCACUCAAGCCGUUUGCAUGCAAAACCUGGAGCACGUCUCAUCCCCAUAAAUGGACAGUUAUUACUGAAAAUGGUUCUGGAGAUCUGCCUCUGUGAGCUGAUGAGUUUGGUCCAUUUGCCAACAGGUCCGCUCUUCCAUAGGCUUAAACCAUAACCCUUUUUGACAAUGUGAGAACAGGAUAAACCAGCCCCAAUCCACCCACUAUUGACAGACAGCUCACCGCGCACACGCCCAGUGGGUGGAAGUUCCCAGGUGCCCUCCUAGCAGAGACAGCAGGGCCCCAGGGUAGUGAGGACUUAAUCACCCCUGUUGACUGAUGCAGGGCUGGGGGUUUAAGGCUGUUGGGCAAGAUCAACAGUAGAAUCCCUACAUUGUACUGGGUUUCUUUCUUUAAAAAAUUGCAGACCUUUCCAAAGACAGCUCGGCAAAUGCUUGCGAUUAAAAUGCAUUUUAUUGGAAGAGUGCGUUUUCUAAAAGACAAGGGUGCUGCCGGGGCUAAAGCUCUCUGGAAGAGACUGGCCUCAGGGUGUGUCUCAGAUCCAUCAGGCCUACGGGGGUCAUCAUCUUUACCUGUAGGGUCAGCUGCUUAAACCCGUGGUUAGCUCAGGGGCCCCUCAGCCCAUUAAAGAUGUACCUCAACUUGUUGAAAUGCCCUUUAACUCUGGAAACAGCUUUUCAGUCCAUAAUUCGAACCAAAAGAUUUUAGUAUAAGUAACUUGUUAGUUUGAAUCCCCAUCAAAGAGUAAUCUGGUGUUGCCGAGUACCAAUAACUGGAUGUUGAAUUGAGCAGGAGAGUGUUAGGUACCUGAAGGGGAAUCAUGAAAAUAGGUAAGAAAAUGGUUUAGAAAGAGAAUGAGGCCAAAAACAACUGGGCCAACUUUCAUUUGGCUCUCUCCUCAGCCAGUCUGGACAGACUACAGACGUUCACCCCACCACUGUCUCCCCCAGGCCCUGCCGCUCUUCACUCUUGGAUGGUUGCCACCUACUGUGGCCUGUCAUGGGACCAUUGAAAAUGUGUUCAAUGCAAGCAGAAGGAAGGAAAUAAUAAAGAUGAAGCAUCAAUAGAUGAAAUUAAGAACAUAAAAAUAAUAGUCAAUAAACCAAGAACUGUAUCCACAGAACAAUUAAAAAAAGACUUCAUUUUUAAAUGGGUAAAAAUUAGUCAUUAGGGAAAUGCACCUCAAAACCACAAAUGAGAUGACUUCACACCAGUGAGGAUGGCUAUUAUCAAAAGAACAAAAUAAGUGUUGGCAGGGACGUGGAAAAUUUGCAACCUUUAUGCAAGGUGGGAACGUAAAAUGGUACAGCCACUGUGGAAAAUGGUGCACAGUCCCUCAAAACAUUAAACAUAGAAUUUACCUUAUGAUGCAGCAAUUCCGCUUCCGGGUAUCUGCCCCAAAGAAGUGAGAGCAGAGGUUCAAAAAGAUAUCUGUACGUCCAUGUUCGUAGCAACAUUAUUCAAAAUAACCGAAAGAUGGAAGGAAGGAACGCAUGUGCCUAUUGACGGAUGAAUAAAGAAUGUGUUCUGUGAUAUAUACUUACAAUGGAGUAUUAUUCAGCCUUAAAAAGGAAGGAAAUUCUGACACCACGUGCUACAGAAUGGACGAACCUUGGGGACAUUGUGGUGAGAUAAGUCAGUCACAAAAGGAUAUACUGAGUGAUUCCACUUGUAUGCGGGACCUAGAGCAGUCAAACUCACAGGGACAUAAAGUAGAAUGAUGACGGCCAGAGGCUGGGGCAGGGGAUAGGGAGUUAGUGUUUAACGGGUGCAGAGUUUCCAUUUGGGAAGAUGAAAAAUUCUGGAAAUGGAUGGUGGUGAUGGCUACACAGUAACGUGAAAUGGAUUUGAUGCCCCUGAGCUGUACAUUUACAAAUGGUUGAACUGGUAACUUUUAUGUUACGUAUAUUUACCACAAUGAAAAAAAAAUUAAAUGGUGGGGGGAAAGGUAUCUUUUAAACGAUCAACAAAAUUGACAAACCUCUAGCCAAGCUCAUCAAGAAUAUAGAGAGAAGAUCGAGUUACCCAUAUCUGGAAUAAAAGAGGGACUUCAUUACAGGCACUUAAGACAUCAAAAGAAUGAUAAUGGAACACCAUAAAACUAUUCUGUGCACAUAAAUUUAACAGCCUAGAUAAAAUGAACAAAUGUCUUGAAAAAUACAGGCUGCCAGAGCUCAUUAGGAAAGGAAAGAAACAGGAAAUUUUCUCAACCUGCUGAAGGUCACCUACAAAACCCAACAGCUAACCUCAUACUUGGUGGUGAAAGAAUGAUCACUUUUCCUCUAAAAUUAGGAAUAAGGCAAGGAUAUUUGUUCUUUAACUAACAUCAUACUAGAAACCCUAGCCUGCAGUAAAGCACCAAAAAAAAGGGAAAUAAACAAAACGCUCUCUAUUCGCAGAUGGCAUGAUUGUCUACAUAGAAAUUCACAAAGAAUUUACAAGAAAACUAUCAGAACUAAUAAACGAGACGGCAAAGCAAAGGUGGCUGCCCCUCCCCCUUAUUUGUCACCGCUUCUCCAUCUCCCCCAGGACUGAUCCGAAAAUAACUUACCGCAGCCUGUUUUAGAAAAGCCGAUAGAAGAUACAGUGGUUGCACAUAAACUGGAUGCCAAGAACGGUGUUGGAGGAGCCCCCCAUCGGUCUAGCACUUGCAUUAGGCUUUUUAUUUUCCAUCAGGAUUGAAGGCACCCCUCCCAUAUGCUUGGUGCUUUUAAACAUACGGACUGCGCUGCAUCAGCUGCGCAGUUACCCGUGCUCCAAGCUGUUAAAUUCAAGUAUCUGCUGCUCGACUUUGUCAAAAACUCCGUAGCUCAUAGUGGACAAGCCGUAGUCUCCGUUCCCUUCUUUCUUGUUAUUCCCCCCAAGUCGGGACAGCUUAUAGGAGAGCUGGGUAAGGAACCCGUGGUCUUCACUUCCAGGAAUUGUCUUCACUGUGCCCUGAUGUCAUGCCUUCAACUAACGUGGAGCAACCCCAGGAAACCUCUCAUGGAACCCAUGCUUACCUUGAGUGAAGGGAUGUGGUUGAGUGCACUGUUAGCCUGAAUUUCUAUUUAUUUUUUUACUCUACUCUAGUGCGUGUAUUCAUUAAGCCGUAUAAAAUCCCUUGGGAAGCCACAUGGACUGUAUAAACGCAACGAAAUAUCUUAGUGGUCCAAGGAUCAUCUCUGAAGGAAUUCUGCAAUGAUGCAAACUUUCCAUUAGGGGGAGCUAGAGUACUAAUGCUAAAAAUACUGCAGGUUAAAAUAACAUCGUUUGCAAAUUGCACAAUUGUUUCUCAAUUAGUCUUUAUUAUUUUCAUGUUUUCCGCUAUGUAUAAAAGGCAUACAUAAUUUAAAGGUAUCAUUUGAAUAUAUGGUAUAAUUUAGGAGGGGAACGUGAAUCUUAAAACUUAUGCCCUACUUUUUAACAGUACUUUGAACAGACCUGAUGAAUUUGGUUUGAACUCAGGGGAAUUUUCCUAAAUCAAAUGCUGAAGUUUUUUUAAGCCUAAAAAUGUUUUAGAGGUAAACAGAGUACAAUAAGAGUUUUAAAGAUAAUUCUUUUGGUAAAAUGUAUUGUUUGCUUUUUAUCUGUCACUGAAGGAAGACAAAAAUGUAUUUUAUUCACUAAAUCUACCUGGCAUUUACUUUUUAAAUUGUAGCCACGGACCACACUCAGAGAUUAGGACUCACAGCUGUGGGCAUAUAUCGCAGGACCAGUUAAGGAAAGGAGUGGGUGCUGCCAGGUAAGGAGUCCACAGAAGGCUGAAAGGGAGGGAAGCAAGGGACUGGUUUUCCGCCAAGUGGCACAGUCCCCGUGAGCCUGGGGAAGGAGUUUAAAGAGGACACAUUAAUGUCAGAUAGAGCGUGAGGAGCAAAGAGGCCAGAAGUACAAAAUCUUCUCCGAGGAAGAGAAAAAGAGACGCCAACGUGAACUUUGUAAGUAUGUAACCCUUGACCGGCAUCCCUUUGGAGGGUUAUGAUCUAACUUACACCAGCAGGACGUAAAACAGGACUCCUCUGGCUGCAGGAUUGUGUUCGGUAAUGAUUCAGUUUAGAGUGUAAGCAGAAGAUGUGAACUUCCCUCUGGUUUCUCUCCUUGGCAGUUGGGUUUAGGCAGAGAGAGUGCUUGGAGAGGCCACGGAGGGGUGAACAGGAGAAAGAGGAGAGGAAUAGCAGGUGCUGAGGAAAGGUCAUUGUCUCCUGGUUUCUUAGAAAGUAGGGCAUCAGCAGCAGGUGACCAGGGGGGUUCCAGGGGGGCGGGGGUCCCGGGGACUGGGUGGAGCAGGGCUUCUCAGCCCGCAGGCUCUCCUGGAGAUUUUCUGGUUUGGUUCUUUUCUGUGCUAUUCUUAUGGCGAUAUAACGUACAUAAAGAAAAGGACACAAAUCAUAAGUUGUACAGAGGACAGGUUUUUCUCAAAGUGGACAAGAAAGAGUAGCCUCCAAACCUCAGAAGUUGCCUCUGACGUACCAUCCUAACUGCUAACGCCAUAGCCUAGUCUGCCGGCUGUUGAACUUUAUGUAAAUGAGUCAUUUGUAAGGUGCUCUGUUGCACAGAACAGGGCCGAUAGGGACAUUGUUGCUCUGUCAUGUGGUGGACAGAGGUGUGCACCCCUGUUGGGAACACCUAGGGGGAGGAUUGCUGGGUCAUAGGGUGUGCUUAUAUACUCAUAGAUACCAACGAAGAAGUUUCCCACAGGACUGGUACCAAUUUACAGUGUCUGUGUAUCCUGUUACCGAAAGUGGGGUCUGGCUGCUCGCCGCUCAAAAGCCAAUAAAGAGCAAGGCUGCAGAGGGAAGCAGGGGCAGCUGGAGACGGGGUGGCCGGUGGUGACGCACCUCGUCUGCCCAGGGCACGGGCGAAGCCAGCGCAGCCCAUCACGUCCACCGACUGUAAUUAGGAAAAGGCCCUGGACUCCGACAGAUCUUGGUUGUAGUUUUUAGUCUGCCGCUUAGGAACUAUGAAUUUGGAAAUUUCACCCGAUUCCCUGAACCUUCGAUUUCCUCUCCUCUAUAAUAUGAGAUUGUCAGGAGGAUAAGAGCAUAUAUGCAGGGUCCUGCCUGAGACAAACAUUGGCUGGGAGUGUUCACAUUUCCCCCAUUUGGGGCUGAAAAAAGGGCGUAUCCCUGGGAGCCAGGCAUGUGUGGAUGGCCCCUGGGUAGAUGUCCUAGCCCCCAUCACAGAGGAGGACCCGCAGAAUGGUUCAUGGACUUCGGGGGCUGAGUGGUGACAGAAGCCCAGGCUCCUCCCUGCUCCUGCUUCUGGAAGCUUGCACCCUCCUUGAGCCUGGCUCAGAUGAACAUCCUCGACCCUGGUUCCCUCCUUCCUUCAUCGCAGGCAAUGACUUCUCACCCGUAGGCUGGUUUCAGUGCUUAACUCUUCUGUUAAAGCCUUUCUCACGCUCCGCUUUGGAUGGCUCUUUCCUCCCCUGGCUUCUGCCACCGCAGACCAGCUCUGCGGUUUUUGAACUUCAUGCAAAGGGACUCACCAAGUGUGCUAUUGGUGGACUUUUACAAAAUGCUGGGUACCUUCCCAUCAGCUCUGGAACUGGAGGCAGGUGAGCUCCCUGCUCACAGACCCUGACCUGCCUGCAGGCCCAGUCAGGACCAGCUUCUGGAAAGAAAAGCGUUGAAAAAAGUAAACAGCUUUCCACUGAAUGCCCGAUGGGAAUGGAGCACGCACAGCCCGGCGGGGACUGUGGCCACUCAGGUGGGCCCCUGACCUGGCUGCAGGUGUCUCGGAUUCUACGUGGCUUCCUAGGUGGUUCUCUUGGAUGUUAGGAGACCUGUGAACUGGAGGAAAAUCCAUACUUGAAAAUCCAGACCAAACAAAGUUGACUAAUCAGAGUCAUCACCAAAUGAUGGUAAUUUCCUUGCUUUGCCAACGUGACCUACAGUGAAUUGAACCGAUUUUCAGGAACCUAUCCACACGUCUAUCCAGACGUACCUGAUUGGACCGUAUUUGUGUUUUCAUUCAUUUAUUUGUUCCUUUAUUUGCCCAUCCUGCCUUAGCUGUCAGCCACAGGGCGAGAACAAGAACAGGAACUGACUGUGAAUAUUAAGGUGACUUUCUUGACUCCACAGGCCGGCGUAGGCUGCUCGGUAUUUGAGUUAUAAUUACUUCUUGAGUCUGUCCCCUGCAACUAGAUUGUAAAGUACUUGAGAGCCUGGGAGGUUUCAACCUUUGUUAACGUCUCUGACCCAGAGCAAACAUUCAGUGAAUGUACCCUGAUAAUAAAUGUUUCUGGACAGAAAGAAAGGGGGGAGGGGAGAACGGAGAGGGAGAGAGGGAGGAAAGGAGGAAGAAAAGCAAUGCAGUGUGACUGUACAGAGCUGGGGCAUUUCUGUAGGUACAUGGAUGGAUACACAGAUACAUGUAAACCGCACCCCUGCAAAGUUCUUGAAGAAAUGCGAUUUCUGUUUUCUUCAGAGACAGAAGUCUACACUCUUACAAGCUUCACUGUCAUAUUGUAACUUGAGAAUGUAGCAUUAAUUGCUACACAGAAAGCAAGUGUAACUCACUUGCUGAAUGCAAAUUGAAUAAUAAAUGGCAAACAAUCAAACUUGCCAUGGAUGGUAUUGACUGGGAGAAGGAUUAAGGCCCACAGUCCGCAGUGAUGGCUGGAGGUCAGCCUUUACCAGUUGGGGGCCGUCAGGCCGGUGUCCCGGCUCAUUUUUAUUUUCACUUUUACUUCCCUCUCCUCCCUGUGACUUUACCCAGGAAAAUAGCACCGCCUGUCACCUAGGAAACAGGUUCUCUCGCUGGCAUGUGGAGAUGGGUGACCCCACCCUGUCUCAUUACAAAUGUGCAUUUGCAGCUGGGCUCUGGGUGACCUUGCCAAGGACAGAAAGCUAAUCCGGUGAUGCUGGUGAAUUGAGGCCCAGCCCCACCCACCUGGCGUCCUGAGGGCCCGGCUGAGGGGUGGGGAUCUGCCUGUUUAAGCUGCUAAACACGCCCAUCUCUUAAGAAGGAGGCUGCAAAGUGGUUUCGUUCUGAAAAUGAUUAAGAAAUAAGCCUGAUGCUCUGUAUUGUGACCGUGCAAGACCCUGGGCCUCUAACUUUGACCACCUUCCUUUUCACCGGGUUCCCCGGAGCGGACGGUUAGCAUUGGACUUGAGACUGGGUGAGCUGAGGACAGAGGCCUUGGGUUCCUCCUUUAGUUAUGUUAAUUGAGAGAGAAGACAGGGGUGAGGGCCGGGACAGUGGGGCCCGGGCGGCCGCUGUGCGGGCUGAGUCUUUAUUCUGUAGCUUUGGCAGUGACGGCUCCUUUCUGGGCCCUUUGUCGCUGUUGGCUCGGGGACCUCGGGGCUGCGCUCCAGCUGUAUGCAAAGUGCGGCCAAGGGCUCGGGGAGGGGGCCCAGCGCAUUGUCCUUCUGUCACAUCCUCCCUACCAUCCUCCCGUCCUUUAUGUGAUAACAGCAACCGGCACCUUUGGCUACUAGGUGCUAUUUUAAGCCCUUCAGCUGGUGAAAGGACUUGAUUCUUACCACAGCCUAGGGAUGGGCACGGUGUGUGCUCUGAUUUCAGACGCGGGACCACAGACUCCCAGGCUGCCUGAGUGCCCGCGGGGGAGGUGGGCCCAGUGGGGAGGGCCACGCGCCCUCCAGGUGGCUCCUCCAUCCUCACUGGCUGUCGGGCUGUCUGUCCCCUGCCGUCUAGGGUGACCCGCCGGGCCUGGACCCAGAACUGCCGCGUCCUCCCCGCCUGGCGUUCCCAGUCCCGAGCACGGCCGGCUGCAAGGCCAAGGGCAGUUCCAAGGUAGGGUGCUCCCCGCAGGACAGUCCAGAUUCCAGGGAAAAGACACCUCUUGCUUGUCUAAAGAGAGGCUGUGUGUGUGUCUUUUACCCAGGAGAACAAUGAUGGAAUCAAUGAUUUUAACCUGCGUUGUAGGAGCUCCUAGCCAGGUGAUGCUCUGGGAAGCAGACAGCCAGGGGCCCACGCCCAGGAGCUGACCUUCCCAGGGCAGUAGGCGAACUUUUUCUUCUCUAUUUUUAUUAAAAAUAAAUUAUGAAGUUUAUUUAUUGAUUUUUGUAUAAUCCAACUAAAUAAAAGCAUUUUGACUUAUGUA
This is a non-coding RNA of Delphinapterus leucas (beluga whale), 9434 nucleotides long. The record is from RefSeq and is a predicted model, not a curated record. Lineage: Eukaryota; Metazoa; Chordata; Mammalia; Artiodactyla; Monodontidae.